RNAcentral lists this ribosomal RNA (488 nucleotides) under uncultured Coriobacteriaceae bacterium. RNAcentral describes it as "partial 16S ribosomal RNA". Lineage: Bacteria; Bacillati; Actinomycetota; Coriobacteriia; Coriobacteriales; Coriobacteriaceae. The record is from RNAcentral.
CACGUAGUUAGCCGGGGCUUCUUCUGCAGGUACCGUCACCUUGCGGCCUCGUCCCUGCUGAAAGCGGUUUACAACCCGAAGGCCGUCAUCCCGCACGCGGCGUCGCUGCGUCAGGCUUUCGCCCAUUGCGCAAGAUUCCCCACUGCUGCCUCCCGUAGGAGUCUGGGCCGUGUCUCAGUCCCAAUCUGGCCGGUCGGUCUCUCAACCCGGCUACCCAUAGAAGCCUUGGUGGGCCGUUACCCCGCCAACUAGCUAACAGGCCGCGGGCCCAUCCCUCUCCGCCAGAGCUUUCCCAACGCUUCCAUGCGAAAGCGUCGGAGUAUCCGGUAUUAUCCCCGGUUUCCCGAGGCUAUCCCGAUGAGAGGGGCAGGUUGCCCACGUGUUACUCAGCCGUUCGCCACUAUCCACACCUCCGAAGAGGUGCUUCUCGUUCGACUUGCAUGUGUUAGGCGCGCCGCCAGCGUUCAUCCUGAGCCAGGAUCAAACUC